Non-coding RNA from Cinara cedri, 696 nucleotides. The record is from the annotation of a GenBank genome assembly. NCBI's taxonomy places the organism in Eukaryota, Metazoa, Arthropoda, Insecta, Hemiptera, Aphididae.
AUACGUUGCGAUCUUGUCAGCGGCGGUAAUAGAGUGGGGGACCCAGAAUUCCUAUAGAAGACGCCGUAUACAUCAUUUUUUUCAUCCUUCUCCUUAUCUAAGUCCCUUCUACACCUAUGCAAUCCUUUCAAAUUUUAUCUCCCAAAUAUAGUGGUUGUAGAAUCUAAGGUUGGUUACUAUAUUUGGUAUACCUAUUCAUAUCUGUAUUGAGGUUGCAGAACCGAAGGCGAAUCACUGCAUUUAAUAAUCCAUAACUCCUAUAUACCUAUCUGUUGCGAAUAUUACUCUGUUUUGUUAUACAUUUAAACGUGCUGACUUUUUAUAGAAAUCCGCCGAAAGGCUAUACACAACUUCUAAUCAUAUAUGUGUAUUUUUUCGGGGGGAACUCUAACAGACAUUUUAUGCGUUAACCUUCCACCCACUUGCCUUUGAUUACAACAGUUUGUCUAUACGCCUAGAAAAGUGGUAACCGAAAAAACAUCCAUGUGUUCUAUGCGUCGUAUAUAGAACACUCACGUUUACUUUGGGUAAUUUGUAUGUGUGUACACAUAACGGCGNUUUAUCGAUACCUACAUCUAUCCAUAUUGUAUUUUGCACACCCGAGUAACAAUCCAUAUUCAAGUCACUUUUUUCUUACCUACCGUAUUACAACCAAUGAUCUGUUGGUGAAAUUCUAGCUGUUUUGCAGAUCAACGA